UAGGGAAUCUUCCGCAAUGGGCGAAAGCUUGACGGAGCAACGCCGCGUGAGUGAUGAAGGUCUUCGGAUCGUAAAACUCUGUUAUUAGGGAAGAACAAAUGGGUAAGUAACUAUGCACGUCUUGACGGUACCUAAUCAGAAAGCCACGGCUAACUACGUGCCAGCAGUCGCGGUAAUACGUAGGUGGCAAGCGUUAUCCGGAAUUAUUGGGCGUAAAGCGCGCGUAGGCGGUUUUUUAAGUCUGAUGUGAAAGCCCACGGCUCAACCGUGGAGGGUCAUUGGAAACUGGAAAACUUGAGUGCAGAAGAGGAAAGUGGAAUUCCAUGUGUAGCAGUGAAAUGCGCAGAGAUAUGGAGGAACACCAGUGGCGAAGGCGACUUUCUGGUCUGUAACUGACGCUGAUGUGCGAAAGCGUGGGGAUCAAACAGG
RNAcentral lists this ribosomal RNA (429 nucleotides) under Actinomycetes bacterium. Its description in RNAcentral is "Actinobacteria bacterium partial 16S ribosomal RNA". It matches the Rfam family "Bacterial small subunit ribosomal RNA", at positions 355 to 776 of the family's 1533-position model. The record is from RNAcentral. Lineage: Bacteria; Bacillati; Actinomycetota; Actinomycetes.